CCUACGGGUGGCAGCAGUGGGGAAUAUUGGGCAAUGGGCGAAAGUCUGACCCAGCAACGCCGCGUGAAUGAAGAAGGCCUUCGGGUUGUAAAGUUCUUUUGUAAGGGACGAAGCAAGUGACGGUACCUGACGAAUAAGCCUCGGCUAACUACGUGCCAGCAGCCGCGGUAAUACGUAGGAUCCGAGCGUUAUCCGGAUUUAUUGGGUUUAAAGGGUGCGCAGGGGGGAUGUCAAGUCAGCUGUGAAAGUUUGCGGCUCAACCGUAAAAUUGCAUUUGAUACUGUUCGUCUUGAGUGCGGUUAGGGUAGGCGGAAUUCGUGGUGUAGCGGUGAAAUGCUUAGAGAUCAUGCAGAACACCGAUUGCGAAGGCAGCUUACCG
RNAcentral lists this ribosomal RNA (379 nucleotides) under uncultured bacterium. RNAcentral's name for it is "partial 16S ribosomal RNA". It matches the Rfam family "Bacterial small subunit ribosomal RNA", at positions 338 to 731 of the family's 1533-position model. The record is from RNAcentral.